RNAcentral lists this ribosomal RNA (386 nucleotides) under Salmonella enterica subsp. enterica serovar Montevideo. Its description in RNAcentral is "partial 23S ribosomal RNA". It matches the Rfam family "Bacterial large subunit ribosomal RNA", at positions 1305 to 1693 of the family's 2925-position model. Lineage: Bacteria; Pseudomonadati; Pseudomonadota; Gammaproteobacteria; Enterobacterales; Enterobacteriaceae. The record is from RNAcentral.
AGUAACGAUAAAGCGGGUGAAAAGCCCGCUCGCCGGAAGACCAAGGGUUCCUGUCCAACGUUAAUCGGGGCAGGGUGAGUCGACCCCUAAGGCGAGGCCGAAAGGCGUAGUCGAUGGGAAACGGGUUAAUAUUCCCGUACUUGGUGUUACUGCGAAGGGGGGACGGAGAAGGCUAUGUUGGCCGGGCGACGGUUGUCCCGGUUUAAGCGUGUAGGCUGGUUUUCCAGGCAAAUCCGGAAAAUCAAGGCUGAGGCGUAACGACGAGGCACUACGGUGCUGAAGCAACAAAUGCCCUGCUUCCAGGAAAAGCCUCUAAGCAUCAGGUAACAUCAAAUCGUACCCCAAACCGACACAGGUGGUCAGGUAGAGAAUACCAAGGCGCUUGA